GCACAGAGAGCUUGCUCUCGGGUGACGAGCGGCGGACGGGUGAGUAAUGUCUGGGAAACUGCCUGAUGGAGGGGGAUAACUACUGGAAACGGUAGCUAAUACCGCAUAACGUCGCAAGACCAAAGUGGGGGACCUUCGGGCCUCAUGCCAUCAGAUGUGCCCAGAUGGGAUUAGCUAGUAGGUGGGGUAACGGCUCACCUAGGCGACGAUCCCUAGCUGGUCUGAGAGGAUGACCAGCCACACUGGAACUGAGACACGGUCCAGACUCCUACGGGAGGCAGCAGUGGGGAAUAUUGCACAAUGGGCGCAAGCCUGAUGCAGCCAUGCCGCGUGUAUGAAGAAGGCCUUCGGGUUGUAAAGUACUUUCAGCGGGGAGGAAGGCGAUAAGGUUAAUAACCUUGUC
RNAcentral lists this ribosomal RNA (403 nucleotides) under Klebsiella pneumoniae. RNAcentral describes it as "bacterial SSU rRNA". It matches the Rfam family "Bacterial small subunit ribosomal RNA", at positions 69 to 473 of the family's 1533-position model. Lineage: Bacteria; Pseudomonadati; Pseudomonadota; Gammaproteobacteria; Enterobacterales; Enterobacteriaceae. The record is from RNAcentral.